RNAcentral lists this ribosomal RNA (406 nucleotides) under uncultured bacterium. RNAcentral describes it as "partial 16S ribosomal RNA". It matches the Rfam family "Bacterial small subunit ribosomal RNA", at positions 30 to 526 of the family's 1533-position model. The record is from RNAcentral.
AUUGAACGCUGGCGGCAGGCCUAACACAUGCAAGUCGAACGCGUGGCGGACGGGUGAGAAAUGUCUGUGAAACUGCCUGAUGGAGGGGGAUACCUCCUGGAAACGGUAGCUAAUACCGCAUACCAUCGGAUGUGCCAAGAUGGGAUUAGCUAGUAGGUGGGGUAAAGGCUCACCUAGGCGACGAUCCCUAGCUGGUCUGAGAGGGUGAACGGCCACACUGGAACUGAGACACGGUCCAGACUCCUACGGGAGGCAGCAGUAGGGAAUAUUGCACAAUGGGCGAAAGCCUGAUGGAGCCAUGCCGCGUGUAUGAAGAAGGCCUUCGGGUUGUAAAGUACUGUCAGCGGGGAGGCGUUACCCGCAGAAAAAGCACCGGCUAACUCCGUGCCAGCAGCCGCGGUAAUAC